GACGAACGCUGGCGGCGUGCCUAAUACAUGCAAGUAGAACGCACAGUUUAUACCGUAGCUUGCUACACCAUAAACUGUGAGUUGCGAACGGGUGAGUAACGCGUAGGUAACCUGCCUGGUAGCGGGGGAUAACUAUUGGAAACGAUAGCUAAUACCGCAUAAUAUUGAUUAUUGCAUGAUAAUUGAUUGAAAGAUGCUAUUGCAUCACUACCAGAUGGACCUGCGUUGUAUUAGCUAGUAGGUGAGGUAACGGCUCACCUAGGCGACGAUACAUAGCCGACCUGAGAGGGUGAUCGGCCACACUGGGACUGAGACACGGCCCAGACUCCUACGGGGGGCAGCAGUAGGGAAUCUUCGGCAAUGGACGAAAGUCUGACCGAGGAACGCCGCGUGAGUGAAGAAGGUUUUCGGAUCGUAAAGCUCUGUUGUAAGAGAAGAACGGGUGUGAGAGUGGAAAGUUCACACUGUGACGGUAUCUUACCAGAAAGGGACGGCUAACUACGUG
RNAcentral lists this ribosomal RNA (505 nucleotides) under uncultured bacterium. Its description in RNAcentral is "partial 16S ribosomal RNA". It matches the Rfam family "Bacterial small subunit ribosomal RNA", at positions 28 to 507 of the family's 1533-position model. The record is from RNAcentral.